GCUGAAGCCAGUCGAAGAUACCAGCUGGCUGCAACUGUUUAUUAAAAACACAGCACUGUGCAAACACGAAAGUGGACGUAUACGGUGUGACGCCUGCCCGGUGCUGGAAGGUUAAUUGAUGGGGUCAGCCGUAAGGCGAAGCUCCUGAUCGAAGCCCCAGUAAACGGCGGCCGUAACUAUAACGGUCCUAAGGUAGCGAAAUUCCUUGUCGGGUAAGUUCCGACCUGCACGAAUGGCGUAAUGAUGGCCAGGCUGUCUCCACCCGAGACUCAGUGAAAUUGAACUCGCUGUGAAGAUGCAGUGUACCCGCGGCAAGACGGAAAGACCCCGUGAACCUUUACUAUAGCUUGACACUGAACAUUGAGCCUUGAUGUGUAGGAUAGGUGGGAGGCUUUGAAGUGUGGACGCCAGUCUGCAUGGAGCCAACCUUGAAAUACCACCCUUUAACGUUUGAUGUUCUAACCUAGGCCCAUAAACUGGGUCGGGGACCGUGUCUGGUGGGUAGUUUGACUGGGGCGGUCUCCUCCUAAAGAGUAACGGAGGAGCACGAAGGUUGGCUAAGCAUGGUCGGACAUCAUGCGGUUAGUGCAAAGGCAUAAGCCAGCUUGACUGCGAGAGUGACGGCUCGAGCAGGUACGAAAGUAGGUCUUAGUGAUCCGGUGGUUCUGAAUGGAAGGGCCAUCGCUCAACGGAUAAAAGGUACUCCGGGGAUAACAGGCUGAUACCGCCCAAGAGUUCAUAUCGACGGCGGUGUUUGGCACCUCGAUGUCGGCUCAUCACAUCCUGGGGCUGAAGUAGGUCCCAAGGGUAUGGCUGUUCGCCAUUUAAAGUGGUACGCGAGCUGGGUUUAGAACGUCGUGAGACAGUUCGGUCCCUAUCUGCCGUGGGCGUUGGAAGAUUGAGAGGGGUUGCUCCUAGUACGAGAGGACCGGAGUGAACGCACCACUGGUGUUCGGGUUGUCAUGCCAAUGGCAUUGCCCGGUAGCUAAGUGCGGAAGAGAUAACCGCUGAAAGCAUCUAAGCGGGAAACUUGCCUCGAGAUGAGUCUUCCCUGUCGCUUUAAGUGACCUAAAGGAACGUUUAAGACUAAGACGUUGAUAGGCUGGGUGUGUAAGCGUAGCGAUACGUUGAGCUAACCAGUACUAAUGAACCGUGAGGCUUAACCUG
This 1167-nucleotide ribosomal RNA is filed under the name Proteus mirabilis. Its description in RNAcentral is "23S ribosomal RNA". It matches the Rfam family "Bacterial large subunit ribosomal RNA", at positions 1766 to 2925 of the family's 2925-position model. Lineage: Bacteria; Pseudomonadati; Pseudomonadota; Gammaproteobacteria; Enterobacterales; Morganellaceae. The record is from RNAcentral.